UACAGAGGGGGCAAGCGUUAUUCGGAAUUAUUGGGCGUAAAGGGCGCGUAGGCGGCCGUGCAAGUGGAAGGUGAAAUCCUUCGGCUCAACCGAGGAACUGCCUUUCAAACUGCAUGGCUUGAGUCCGGGAGAGGUGAGUGGAAUUCCCAGUGUAGCGGUGAAAUGCGUAGAUAUUGGGAGGAACACCAGUGGCGAAGGCGGCUCACUGGACCGGAACUGACGCUGAGGCGCGAAAGCGUGGGGAGCAAACGGG
Molecule: ribosomal RNA, 253 nt
Filed under: uncultured bacterium
Lineage: Bacteria
Description: partial 16S ribosomal RNA
Rfam family: Bacterial small subunit ribosomal RNA
Source: RNAcentral